AGAAUCAACGCUGGCGGCGUGCCUAACACAUGCAAGUCGCACGAGAAAGUGGAGCAAUCCAUGAGUACAGUGGCGCACGGGUGAGUAACACGUGAAUAAUCUACCUCCGAGUGGGGAAUAACUGAGAGAAAUCUUAGCUAAUACCACAUAAUACCCACGGGUCAAAGCAGCAAUGCGCUUGGAGAGGAGUUCGCGGCCGAUUAGCUAGUGGCGGGGUAAUGGCCCACCAAGGCGAUGAUCGGUA
Molecule: ribosomal RNA, 244 nt
Filed under: uncultured bacterium
Lineage: Bacteria
Description: partial small subunit ribosomal RNA
Rfam family: Bacterial small subunit ribosomal RNA
Source: RNAcentral